Molecule: long non-coding RNA, 840 nt
Organism: Myotis lucifugus (little brown bat)
Lineage: Eukaryota; Metazoa; Chordata; Mammalia; Chiroptera; Vespertilionidae
Exons: 2
Source: RefSeq, a predicted model, not a curated record
CACCGGGCGGGCGGCCUGAGGGUGUCCCGCUGGGCUGUGGUCCCGGAGGCAGCCUGGCCGGUUCUCCGUCAGUCACAGGGGCUGUCAGUCUCAGGAAGGGUGUCCUUCCUUGUCCCGGCCUCGCCCUCUGCUCCUCAGUGGCGUGGCCUCCGGGGCCCUGCUCUCUCCUCCCUGCUUGCGCCUUCUGCCUGGUCCGGAUGUCCGAGCACAGACCUGGGAGUCACAGGUCCGGGCCUGACUCUUGUCUAAAACAGCAGCCCCACUCAGCACCCCACAUCGACCAGGCCCGGGCUCCCUGGGGUCAGGGCGGUGGUACCGGCGGCUGGGCACCCUGGUGGGCCGGUUGCAGAAUAAACGCAUGGACAAGGGCGGGUGGCCGUGGUGCCUGCGAUGCCUGUGUGGGACUUGGGAGUGGGACCAGGUGGGACGGAUGCCCUGCGCCUCCCGGAGCCAGGGCGGUUUCGUGGAGAAAGCGGAUUCAGAGCCGCAGAGGAGGCAGGGGUGCCCAGGGCGCUUUGACACCCUGCCCGUGGCUGCCCCUCUCCAUCCCUGCCUGGGAGCUGCCAGAAUGCAGACCCGCCACUGGGCCGAACCACCCGUGUAAUCUAACUGGACCAAUUCCCGCUUUUCAUAUCAGACCUUUGAGGAAUGUAUCAUUGGUCUCUGCCCCGGUUCCCCUGUUUUUUCCUGAAGAACAAAGAGGGGGUUUGGGAGGCUAAGACAAGCUUAUUUGUGUGAAUUCCUUAUAUUCAGGAAAAUAUUCUUCAUACAUGUAGAUGUAAAAAGAGUCUACUUAUACUAGUAAGUAGAAUCCUAUAUAAUAAAAGGCUAAUAUGCAAA